UCCGGCUUAUCACCGGCGGUUUCUUUAGAGUGCCCAACUAAAUGAUGGCAACUAAAGACGAGGGUUGCGCUCGUUGCGGGACUUAACCCAACAUCUCACGACACGAGCUGACGACAACCAUGCACCACCUGUCACCACUGUCCCCGAAGGGAAAAGCCUAUCUCUAAGCCGGUCAGUGGGAUGUCAAGACCUGGUAAGGUUCUUCGCGUUGCUUCGAAUUAAACCACAUGCUCCACCGCUUGUGCGGGCCCCCGUCAAUUCCUUUGAGUUUCAACCUUGCGGUCGUACUCCCCAGGCGGAGUGCUUAAUGCGUUAGCUGCAGCACUAAGGGGCGGAAACCCCCUAACACUUAGCACUCAUCGUUUACGGCGUGGACUAC
RNAcentral lists this unclassified non-coding RNA (379 nucleotides) under uncultured Caryophanaceae bacterium. RNAcentral describes it as "uncultured Planococcaceae bacterium contains 16S-23S intergenic spacer region". Lineage: Bacteria; Bacillati; Bacillota; Bacilli; Caryophanales; Caryophanaceae. The record is from RNAcentral.